Molecule: ribosomal RNA, 221 nt
Filed under: uncultured Entrophospora
Lineage: Eukaryota; Fungi; Glomeromycota; Glomeromycetes; Entrophosporales; Entrophosporaceae
Description: uncultured Claroideoglomus partial small subunit ribosomal RNA
Rfam family: Eukaryotic small subunit ribosomal RNA (bases 96-221)
Source: RNAcentral
GGAUUGGCACAUCGGUCGUGCCUUAAGGGGCAUGAACUGGUGUAGCCAAUUUCUCACCUUCUGGAGAACCGCGAUGUCCUUAAUUGGGUGCCGCGAGGAACCAGGACCUUUACUUUGAAAAAAUUAGAGUGUUUAAAGCAGACUAUCGUCUGAAUACAUUAGCAUGGAAUAAUGAAAUAGGACGGACUGAUUCUAUUUCGUUGGUUUCUAGGAUCACCGUA